UCCUCCGUAGCUCAAUCGGCAGAGCAUUCGGCUGUUAACCGAAGGGUUACUGGUUCGAGUCCAGUCGGAGGAGCC
This 75-nucleotide transfer RNA is filed under the name Actinomycetospora chlora. RNAcentral describes it as "tRNA-Asn". It matches the Rfam family "tRNA". From Rfam's summary of the family: Transfer RNA (tRNA) molecules are approximately 80 nucleotides in length. Their secondary structure includes four short double-helical elements and three loops (D, anti-codon, and T loops). Lineage: Bacteria; Bacillati; Actinomycetota; Actinomycetes; Pseudonocardiales; Pseudonocardiaceae. RNAcentral also lists the same sequence under 1 other name. The record is from RNAcentral.